AUUGGCUAUGCAGACUCGGCUAGAAGUAGUCAGAAUUUUGAUGCUAUUCCUGUAGAUAACUCAAAUCCAAAUAACAAGUGAAGCAUGCAUUUUUCCUUUCAUUUUCCCUUUUUUUUUCCUUCCUUUUUGUUUUGAUGAUGAUGAGGUGCAGGUUAUUCCUGUAGCUAACUCAAAUCCAAAUAACUAGUGAAGAAUUCAUGUGCAUUUUUCCUUUGAUUUC
This is a long non-coding RNA of Lycium ferocissimum, 220 nucleotides long. RefSeq lists it as uncharacterized. The transcript has 2 exons. The record is from RefSeq and is a predicted model, not a curated record. NCBI's taxonomy places the organism in Eukaryota, Viridiplantae, Streptophyta, Magnoliopsida, Solanales, Solanaceae.